Molecule: ribosomal RNA, 202 nt
Filed under: uncultured Actinomycetales bacterium
Lineage: Bacteria; Bacillati; Actinomycetota; Actinomycetes; Actinomycetales
Description: partial 16S ribosomal RNA
Rfam family: Bacterial small subunit ribosomal RNA
Source: RNAcentral
CCUUGCACUCUGGGAUAAGCUUGGGAAACUGGGUCUAAUACCGGAUAGGAACCGUCUUUAGUGUGGUGGUUGGAAAGUUUUUUCGGUGCAAGAUGAGCUCGCGGCCUAUCAGCUUGUUGGUGGGGUAAUGGCCUACCAAGGCGUCGACGGGUAGCCGGCCUGAGAGGGUGUACGGCCACAUUGGGACUGAGAUACGGCCCAG